AGACUGUAUGUAUCAUGUUACUAGUAACAUUAUUUAUUCAGCUAGUUUAGAUAGUUAUUCCCAUUUUGAACUUGGAAUCUACUCAUCAAUUGCUCUCAGCAAAUGUGAUUGGGUGGAGGUCUAUUGGGAUAUGUGAAUUAGGCAUAGCCAAUCAGAUCCCCACUUUUCCCUGUUGUCAAUGAUUAGUUCAUGGACACUCAGGUGAUGCCAUCAGAGCCAAAGAAAUAUCAUGAGACUUUUUGGAGACUUCCGAGAUAGAGGGAGGUUCUAGAGGGAAAUUUUGGGAAGCUGAGAUUAUGUAUUUCUGGAGUUGCUCAAGUUCUCUAAGGAAGGAGCCUGUCUGUAAAUAGAACAGGCAAUAGAUUUUCUUUCACUUGCAAGAAAAAAUUUCUAAUUGAUAAAAAUCAUACACAUAAAACAAUAAGCCAUAUAUUUAUUGCAGUAUGCAUGCAGGACUCACUAACAAGCACUCUUAUUUAUGGAUCAUUGAUUAAUAAACAUGACAAUUAUGUCCACUGUAAACCUAGAGCAAUUCCAAUUACACACAUCUGUUCAUUAAAUGCAGACAGUAGUUUAUACCAUGUUUGUAUCAUAUUAAAUACUAACAUUUAAAAUAUUUUUUCUUUAGAAAUUUUGUGUGUCUGGAGUUUUAACUUUUCAUUAUAAUUGUCUUUAUUAGCUCCUAAUCUCAUAUUUAUGAAGGAUUGGGAUUAGUUGGAAUAUUGAUGAAAAACUGUACAUGCAACACAGAGAAAAUGAUCAUAAACACAAAAUACUGUGUCAGGAAGCCUAUGGAUUUUCUGAAGCCCAUACAUGGAUAAGGGCCCUUGGUCUAUCAGAAAAUGAACCCUUGAAAUUUUUGAUUUCUGAGAUUUUCUUGAAGUUUUCUUUAUUAUCUACUAUGUGAUAGAUUUUUAGACAUUCUAGGGAUGCUUGAGAAUAAUGCGUAUUCACUCUUUAUAGAAUAUUGAAUCUAAAUAAAUCAAUCUUAAUUCAAAUUUAAUUUGUAAAUAUUUGUCAUUUUUCUCUUGAACUCAUAAUGUUUACAUAUUUUUAUGAUACUAAGUAAUGAUUUAUAAUUGUUAUGUAUUAUUGACUUAACCCCUUAUCUAUUUAAAAAUAAAUAGACCAUUAAUACCUUUGAAGCUUUUGAGUCUUUAAUUUUAUAAUAAUGUAAUCACUGCCUUUCUUUUUUUUUGCUUCUAUUUGCUAAUACUUAUCUGCCCACACUUUUAUUGACAUUUCUCUAUCAUAUCAUUUUAGAAAUGUUGUUAACCACAUAUAGCUGAAAUUUAUUUUGAACUGAAUGACAGUAUUUUCCUUUUACCUGAGGAACAGGAUUUAGCCUAUUUAUUACUUUCUGAAAUAAGUGAUACACUUGAUCCUCUGUUUUUAUGUUUCUGUUAGCUGUGUUUUAUCUCUUUAUAAGGACUAUAAUUUUAUUUUUCUUAAAUCUACUGCAGUAGGUAUACUCUUUUUUAAAACUUCAUGGGUUGUUAGCUAUUUCUAUAUAAUAAACUACAUUAAAAUAGAGUAGCUAAAACAAAGACAGUUAUUUAACUCGGAUUCAGUAGGCUUGCAAUUUAGGGUGAGUUUCAAUGGCUCAGUUGGAAUCCUGCAUGCACAGAGUAGGGUAGCUCUGCUUCUGGGGUUGGCUGGUUGUCAGCCAUGGUGGCAAAGGGACAGCUGAGCCACAUUUCAUUGAGCAGGCUCAUACUCAAGUUGACUUGACAGCAUUAUAAAGGAAGGGCAGCUAGUGAGAGGAGCCACGGGUCAUGGAGAACAAUUUAUUGGGAAGCCACUUCCUGGGAUUCAAGCUGGGCCUUAAUCAAGGAACAUUACUGCCUCUGAGUAGAAAUAGUUGCUUGGCUGAAUUUUAUAAUGCCAGAUGUGAACAAAAGAAC
This 1904-nucleotide long non-coding RNA is filed under the name Homo sapiens (human). RNAcentral's name for it is "HSALNT0044154". The record is from RNAcentral. Lineage: Eukaryota; Metazoa; Chordata; Mammalia; Primates; Hominidae.